CAUAUCAAUAAGCGGAGGAAAAGAAACCAACAGGGAUUGCCUCAGUAACGGCGAGUGAAGCGGCAACAGCUCAAAUUUGAAAUCUGGCUCUCGGGCCCGAGUUGUAAUUUGAAGAGGAUGUUUCUGGCAAGGUGCCUUCCGAGUUCCCUGGAACGGGACGCCAUAGAGGGUGAGAGCCCCGUCUGGUUGGUUGCCGAGCCUCUGUGAAACUCCUUCGACGAGUCGAGUAGUUUGGGAAUGCUGCUCUAAAUGGGAGGUAUACGUCUUCUAAAGCUAAAUACCGGCCAGAGACCGAUAGCGCACAAGUAGAGUGAUCGAAAGAUGAAAAGCACUUUGAAAAGAGGGUUAAAAAGUACGUGAAAUUGUUGAAAGGGAAGCGCUCAUGACCAGACUUGGGCCGGUUGAUCAUCCAUCGUUCUCGGUGGUGCACUCUGCCGGUUCAGGCCAGCAUCAGUUUGCUUCGGGGGAUAAAGACUUCGGGAACGUGGCUCCUCCGGGAGUGUUAUAGCCCGUUGUGUAAUACCCUG
This 527-nucleotide ribosomal RNA is filed under the name Hypocreales sp. RNAcentral's name for it is "eukaryotic LSU rRNA". It matches the Rfam family "Eukaryotic large subunit ribosomal RNA", at positions 39 to 578 of the family's 3401-position model. The record is from RNAcentral. Lineage: Eukaryota; Fungi; Ascomycota; Sordariomycetes; Hypocreales.